CCUGCGUGCGCUUUACGCCCAGUAAUUCCGAUUAACGCUUGGACCCUACGUAUUACCGCGGCUGCUGGCACGUAGUUAGCCGGUCCUUAUUCUUCCGGUACCGUCAUCCACACCUAAUAUUAGUAAGUGCGAUUUCUUUCCGGACAAAAGUGCUUUACAACCCGAAGGCCUUCUUCACACACGCGGCAUUGCUGGAUCAGGGUUGCCCCCAUUGUCCAAAAUUCCCCACUGCUGCCUCCCGUAGGAGUCUGGGCCGUGUCUCAGUCCCAGUGUGGCUGAUCGUCCUCUCAGACCAGCUACUGAUCGUCGCCUUGGUGAGCCUUUACCUCACCAACUACUAAUCAGAMAUCGGCCGCUCCUAUAGCAKGAGGCCUUGCGGUCCCCCAACUUUCAACCCUCAGKUCGUAUGCSGUAUUAGCUAAUCUUUSGACUARUUAUCCCCCMACUACAGGGCACGUUCCGAUGUAUUACUCACCCGUUCGCCACUCGCCAUCAAUCUAGCAAGCUAGAUCAUGCUGCCGUUCGGCUUGCAUGUGUAAGGCAUGCCGCCAGCGUUCAAUCUGAGCCAGGAUCAAACUCUCCAA
Molecule: ribosomal RNA, 584 nt
Filed under: uncultured bacterium OSs83
Lineage: Bacteria
Description: partial 16S ribosomal RNA
Source: RNAcentral